ACUUAACCCGGAGAGGAAGCAGUGGCUAACUCUGUGCCAGCAGCCGCGGUAAUACAGAGACUGCAAGCGUUAUUCGGAUUCACUGGGCGUAAAGGGUGCGCAGGCGGCCGUGUGUGUGAGGUGUGAAAUCCCGGAGCUUAACUCCGGAACUGCGCCUCAAACUACACGGCUAGAGCAUUGGAGAGGGAAGUGGAAUUCACGGUGUAGCAGUGAAAUGCGUAGAUAUCGUGAGGAACACCAGAGGCGAAGGCGACUUCCUGGACAAUUGCUGACGCUCAGGCACGAAAGCGUGGGGAGCAAAAGGGAUUAGAUACCCCUGUAGUCCACGCCCUAAACGGUGCACACUAGGUUUUGGAGGAUUCGACCCCUUCAGGACCCAAGCUAACGCGUUAAGUGUGCCGCCUGAGGACUACGGCCGCAAGGCUAAAACUCAAAGGAAUUGACGGGGGCCCGCACAAGCGGUGGAGCAUGUGGCUUAAUUCGAUGCAACGCGAAGAACCUUACCAGGCCUUGACAUGCACUGGACCGACGCUGAAAGGCGUCUUUCCCGCAAG
Molecule: ribosomal RNA, 554 nt
Filed under: uncultured bacterium
Lineage: Bacteria
Description: bacterial SSU rRNA
Rfam family: Bacterial small subunit ribosomal RNA
Source: RNAcentral